Molecule: ribosomal RNA, 1973 nt
Filed under: Monticola elongata
Lineage: Eukaryota; Fungi; Ascomycota; Dothideomycetes; Mycosphaerellales; Teratosphaeriaceae
Description: SSU rRNA
Rfam family: Eukaryotic small subunit ribosomal RNA
Source: RNAcentral
UUAUACGGUGAACGUCGAAUGGCUCAUUAAAUCAGUUAUCGUUUAUUUGAUAGUACCCUACUACAUGGAUACCUGUGGUAAUUCUAGAGCUAAUACAUGCUAAAAACCCCGACUUCGGAAGGGGUGUAUUUAUUAGAUAAAAAACCAAUGCCCUUCGGGGCUCCUUGGUGAAUCAUAAUAACUUAACGAAUCGCAUGGCCUUGCGCCGGCGAUGGUUCAUUCAAAUUUCUGCCCUAUCAACUUUCGAUGGUAGGAUAGUGGCCUACCAUGGUAGCAACGGGUAACGGGGAAUUAGGGUUCUAUUCCGGAGAGGGAGCCUGAGAAACGGCUACCACAUCCAAGGAAGGCAGCAGGCGCGCAAAUUACCCAAUCCCGAUACGGGGAGGUAGUGACAAUAAAUACUGAUACAGGGCUCUUUUGGGUCUUGUAAUUGGAAUGAGUACAAUUUAAAUCCCUUAACGAGGAACAAUUGGAGGGCAAGUCUGGUGCCAGCAGCCGCGGUAAUUCCAGCUCCAAUAGCGUAUAUUAAAGUUGUUGCAGUUAAAAAGCUCGUAGUUGAACCUUGGGCCUGGCUGGCCGGUCCGCCUCACCGCGUGUACUGGUCCGGCCGGGCCUUUCCUUCUGGGGAGCCGCAUGCCCUUCACUGGGCGUGUCGGGGAACCAGGACUUUUACUGUGAAAAAAUUAGAGUGUUCAAAGCAGGCCUUUGCUCGAAUACAUUAGCAUGGAAUAAUAGAAUAGGACGUGCGGUCUAUUUUGUUGGUUUCUAGGGCCGCCGUAAUGAUUAAUAGGGAUAGUCGGGGCAUUAGUAUUCAUUGUCAGAGGUGAAAUUCUUGGAUUUAUUGAGACUACUACUGCGAAAGCAUCUGCCAAGGAUGUUUUCAUUAAUCAGGAACGAAAGUUAGGGGAUCGAAGACGAUCAGAUACCGUCGUAGUCUUAACCAUAAACUAUGCCGACUAGGGAUCGGUGGGUGUUACUAUUAUGACCUCAUCGGCACCUUACGAGAAAUCAAAGUUCUUUGGUUCUGGGGGGAGUAUGGUCGCAAGGCUGAAACUUAAAGAAAUUGACGCAAGGGCACCACCAGGCGUUAACUGCAGUUCACUCUGCGCCUCAAAGCAGCCUUCACCGGUGUGGUGGUGCGCCCUUAAAUGCUAGUCUCUGUUCAGAGGCGACACCUUCAAAUUGCGGGGACACCCUGCCAACACCUCCGACUACCAAGCGCCGCCUGCGAAGGGGGCGUGGCCCGGCCGUAAUGGGCCGGGGUAUGGUGACAACGUCGGAGGUUGGGGCGAUCCGCAGCCAAGCCGCUCACGGAGCGGAAGGUCCAGAGACUAGACGGAGGUGGGUGGGACUCGACGCCAGAGUCCCGCCUAAGAUAUAGUCCAUGCGGCGGCGAAAGCCGACCGCGUUCGAUGGGAGCCUGCGGCUUAAUUUGACUCAACACGGGGAAACUCACCAGGUCCAGACACAAUAAGGAUUGACAGAUUGAGAGCUCUUUCUUGAUUUUGUGGGUGGUGGUGCAUGGCCGUUCUUAGUUGGUGGAGUGAUUUGUCUGCUUAAUUGCGAUAACGAACGAGACCUUAACCUGCUAAAUAGCCCGGCCCGCUUUGGCGGGUCGCCGGCUUCUUAGAGGGACUAUCGGCUCAAGCCGAUGGAAGUUUGAGGCAAUAACAGGUCUGUGAUGCCCUUAGAUGUUCUGGGCCGCACGCGCGCUACACUGACAGGGCCAACGAGUUAAUGUCCUUGGCCGGAAGGUCUGGGUAAUCUUGUUAAACCCUGUCGUGCUGGGGAUAGAACAUUGCAAUUAUUGCUCUUCAACGAGGAAUGCCUAGUAAGCGCGUGUCAUCAGCACGCGUUGAUUACGUCCCUGCCCUUUGUACACACCGCCCGUCGCUACUACCGAUUGAAUGGCUUAGUGAGGCGUUCGGACUGGCUCAGGGAGGUCGGCAACGACCACCCAGAGCCGGAAAGUU